UGGGGAAUAUUGGACAAUGGAUGGAAAUCUGAUCCAGCCAUGCCGCGUGCAGGAAGACGGCCCUAUGGGUUGUAAACUGCUUUUGUGUGGGAGCAAUAAGGUCUAUGCGUAGACUGAUGAGAGUACCAUACGAAUAAGCAUCGGCUAACUCCGUGCCAGCAGCCGCGGUAAUACGGAGGAUGCGAGCGUUAUCCGGAUUCAUUGGGUUUAAAGGGUGCGUAGGCGGACUAUUAAGUCAGUGGUGAAAUCCUGCAGCUUAACUGCAGAACUGCCAUUGAUACUGAUAGCCUUGAGUUUGGUUAAGGUAGGCGGAAUGUGUAAUGUAGCGGUGAAAUGCUUAGAUAUUACACAGAACACCAAUUGCGUAGGCAGCUUACUGAGCCGACACUGACGCUGAGGCACGAAAGCGUGGGGAUCGAACA
This 422-nucleotide ribosomal RNA is filed under the name uncultured prokaryote. Its description in RNAcentral is "bacterial SSU rRNA". It matches the Rfam family "Bacterial small subunit ribosomal RNA", at positions 355 to 774 of the family's 1533-position model. The record is from RNAcentral.